This 1499-nucleotide ribosomal RNA is filed under the name metagenome. RNAcentral's name for it is "bacterial SSU rRNA". It matches the Rfam family "Bacterial small subunit ribosomal RNA". The record is from RNAcentral.
AGAGUUUGAUCCUGGCUCAGGACGAACGCUAGCGGCGUGCCUAAGGUAUGCAAGUCGAACGGGGAAGCAAUUCCUAGUGGCGAACGGUCGAGUAACACGUAGACAACCUGCCUCCCAGCGGGGGAUACCAGCGGGAAACCGCUGCUAAUACCGCAUGCGAUCCGGAAGGGCAGCCUUCUUGGAUGAAAGGAGGAGCGCAAGCUCCUUCACUGGGAGAUGGGUCUGCGGCCUAUCAGCUCGUUGGCGGGGUAACGGCCCACCAAGGCGACGACGGGUAGCUGGUCUGAGAGGAUGAUCAGCCGGACGGGGACUGAGACACGGCCCCGACUCCUUCGGGAGGCAGCAAUGAGGAAUCUUGCGCAAUGGGGGCAACCCUGACGCAGCGACGCCGCGUGGGUGAGGAAGUCCUUCGGGAUGUAAAGCCCUUUUCUGGGGGACGAGAACGGACGGUACCCCAGGAAGAAGCCCCGGCUAACUACGUGCCAGCAGCCGCGGUAAUACGUAGGGGGCAAGCGUUGUCCGGAUUUACUGGGCGUAAAGAGCGCGUAGGCGGAAUGGUAAGCGGGGCCGGAAAGCCCCCGGCUCAACCGGGGAAGGGGCCGCGAACUGCCAUUCUUGAGGGGGAGAGGGGAGAGCGGAAUUCCUGGUGUAGCGGUGAAAUGCGUAGAGAUCAGGAGGAACACCAAUGGCGAAGGCAGCUCUCUGGCUUCACCCUGACGCUGAGGCGCGAAAGCGUGGGGAGCGAACGGGAUUAGAUACCCCGGUAGUCCACGCCGUAAACGAUGAUCACUAGGCGUUGGUGGUAUCGACCCCACCAGUGCCGCAGCUAACGCAAUAAGUGAUCCGCCUGGGGAGUACGGCCGCAAGGUUGAAACUCAAAGGAAUUGACGGGGGCCCGCACAAGCGGUGGAGCAUGUGGAUUAAUACGUCACUAACCGUAGAACCUUACCCAGGCUUGACAUCCUCGGAACCGGCCCGAAAAGGCGGGGUGCCUCGCAAGAGGAGCCGAGAGACAGGUGUUGCAUGGCUGUCGUCAGCUCGUGUCGUGAGAUGUUGGGUUAAGUCCCGCAACGAGCGCAACCCUCACUGCCUGUUGCCAGCAUUCAGUUGGGCACUCUGGCGGAACUGCCCGGGUAACCGGGAGGAAGGUGGGGACGACGUCAAGUCAGCAUGGCCCGUACGCCUGGGGCUUCACACAUGCUACAAUGGCCGGUACAAAGGGUCCCGAAGCCGCGAGGUGGAGGCAAUCCCAAAAAGCCGGUCUCAGUUCGGAUCGCAGGCUGCAACUCGCCUGCGUGAAGUCGGAAUCGCUAGUAACCGCCGGUCAGCUAAACGGCGGUGAAUACGUUCCCGGGCCUUGUACACACCGCCCGUCACGUCACCUGAGUCUGUUGCACCCGAAGCCGCUGGCCUAACCCGCAAGGGAAGGAGGCGUCGAAGGUGUGGCCGGUAAGGGGGACGAAGUCGUAACAAGGUAGCCGUAGGGGAACCUGCGGCUG